UGUCCCAGGUUGUUCCCAUGACAUGGUUGGACUGCUAAUUUUCAUUCUUUCCAGGCACGGAGAGAAUUCUCACUGAAGAGCUGUGCCCCAAAUAGCCUCGGAAGCUUGCUGAUUGGGAAGUCCUUGCUGCAUGGAAGGAAGGGCCAUGGUGUCCUCUUCAAGAAGAUUUGGUCUUCCCAUUCUUCCUCUCUGAGCUGGUGAGCGUGACAGCACACAGGAAAGGCGCCCUCAUGUUGAAAAGACCUGAAGUCAAGACUUUCUCCUUGAUGGCAAUGCUAUGUAAUGGCGUGGGAGAAAGAGGAUUCCAGAGAACCUGAAUCUCAUCCACGUCUGCUGCUCUGACAGCUCCGUGCCUCCCUGUGUGUGUUGGACGCAGUUGGGUUUUCUAUAGCAGCUGUGUUUGUGGACAUCAUCCCCCAGUGGAAGGGGGCAGAGGCAUCACAUUAUAUAGCCUCAGCAGAGAAAAGGAUUUUUCUCAACCUAAUGGAAUGAUGUCUGGCAGAACAAGGAUGAGUCCAGGACCUGGCUGUUGCUGUGACCACCCUGACCUGCAGAGAAGCUCCAGACUCGAUUCUCUAACAACGCAGGAGAUCGGUUCAGAGUCAGUUACUCCGUCACCUCCACGCUCAACCAGCUGUAGCAUCUGAAAUGGCACCAGCUGUAGCAUCUGACACCAGCGGUCGAAGUUUCUGCAUUUUGAAGAAAUGGUACCGGUUAGAUUCUUCCUACGGCUGCUGUAGAGCGGAGUUCAGAGGAGAGGCAGAGCUGUGAGGACGGAGUGGCCAGGAAUACUUUCGUGGUAUUUGGGAACGACCUUG
Molecule: long non-coding RNA, 818 nt
Filed under: Bos indicus x Bos taurus (hybrid cattle)
Lineage: Eukaryota; Metazoa; Chordata; Mammalia; Artiodactyla; Bovidae
Description: lncRNA (ENSBIXG00000008266.1)
Source: RNAcentral